GUCUGGACUCCAGUUGGACUCUCAGAGCAGCCCUGAGACCUCAGACGCCCUUCUCUCUGAGGGGAGCCCAUCAAAUGAGCUCUGCUGUCUGCAGACAUCCACACCGGCAGGAGGACCCAGGCCUCUAGUCACUUUUCCCAGAUGCUUCGUGCCUUUGGUGUGAGAUUUCCAGAGGAUUCCCAAGCUGUACAGACUACAUGUUGUCCUCAGCUUGAAUCUCGAUGUCAGCAUUCCUGUGGUCUGAUGAUCGACCCGUGUCCAUCACAGCCCCACCAGGAAAGCAGCCUCUCCCAGAGGUAACUGAAGAAGCACUGUACACCACGUCAUCUCCCCGCCUCCUCGCUGGACUCGGAGCUUCUCACUUGCUGGCCGUGGGCCGGGUGGGUCUACAGGGAUAAAGAAUGUGCACGCCAGACGUGAUGUUCGUUUUCUGAUAAUCAAUGGAUUUUAUGCAUCUGCCAAGAGUUGUGAACGGGCGAUAUGAUAUAUAGAUAGUCGGCAACUAAAUUUCAUCUCGCUCAUCAGUGCUGAUGGACAGGAAGUGGAUGCAGGAGAACUGGAUUCAGAGGACGUGAAAAUUAACCUGGUUUUGCCGUGUUCCUGGGCACCUGCCUCCAUGCACACCUGAGUUCAGGAGCCAUGUCCCUCCACUAGAGGGCGGGCAUCGUAGACGCCUGCUACGCCACCUGGGCUGUCGCGUGUGUUCCGGCCUCAGCCCUGGAGAAGGUAAGAGCUGGUGCCUGCAGGUCUUAAGUGCUCUGCCCGCUGUGUCGCAACCAUAAGCGAGCCGGGAAGGGAGCUUUCACUCAAGAGCCAGCUGCUGGCUGGAUCGAUGCAGAAGGCGAGGCAUGGACACAAAGAGAUACUUUGUGCUGGUGACGAUGCUGAUGAUAGCAAUACAGUCCUUUCUGGGACGUUCGCAGUGCGCCGGGCACAGCACUAAGAAUAUUACACGGCUAUCUUAUUCAGUCCUCCCAACAGCCUUCUGAGAUGGACCCAUUGUUCUGCCCAAUUUGCUGCAGAUGAGCGCUGCCAACAACUUAUAAGCUAGGAAUAAACAGAUGAGGGAAAUCAUCACCAAAGAGAACCUCUUGGGAGUGUAAAAUGGGGCCACCUUUGGAAAAUAGCCCAGAAGUUCCUCACACUGUGAAACCUGGAGUGACCACAGGCCCCAGCCGCUCCAGCCUCGGGGUUCCUCUCUCUCAUCUCCCCCUGGGCACUGGCAUGUUCCAUCCCUGCUCAGCAAUCAUUCUGUCCACAACAUUCUAAUCAGCACUGAAUUAUCCCAUUGGACACAGAACACAAGAGUGGUUCCUCCUGGCUUCAGGACCUGUCACUGUCCAUUGGAAGGUCAUCUGUCCAAGUCAAGGAGACCCUGGCCAGGGCUGCAGCCCAUCCUCCUGGGGGCUGGAGGGUGCCAGCAUCCUCAGCCCUGGGAUCUUUCUCUUGGCCUGUGGCUGCUGGUCCAGCCGCCAAUGCCAAGAGCUAACAACCACAGUGGACGCAAGAAGGUUCCCACCUCAGUGACCUGGCGGGGGUGUGUGUGUGUGUGCGUGUGUGUGAGAAACGGGCAGGUGUGUAUGUGUGUGAAAUGGGCAGGGGUGUGUGUGUAUGUGAAAUGGGCAGGUGAGUGUACAAUGAGCAGGUGUGUGUGUGUGUGAAUGGGCAGGUAUGUGUGUGUGUGAAAGGGCAGGUGUGUGUGGGAGAAACAAGCAGGUGUGUAUGUGUGUGAAAUGGGCAGGGGUGUGUGUGUAUGUGUGAAAUGGGAAGGUGUGUGUGUAUGUGAAAUGGACAGGUGAGUGUGAAAUGGGCAGGUGUGUGUAUGUGUGAAACAGGUAGGGGUGUGUGUGUGUGAAUGGGCAGGGGUGAGUGUGUGUGUGUGUGUAUGUGUGUGAAUGGGCAGGUGCGUGUGUGUGUGUGUGUGUGUUGUGUGUGUGAGAAAUGGGCAAGGGUGUUGCUGCAGAGAUGAAAUCUGACCUACGUGGGCUCCACAGCAGCUCCUCUCCCGCAUUCCCUUACCCAUGGAUGCCAGGGCCGUGCAGCCUGACCACCCAUCACAGACCACCAGCAAACAGGCCGAGUGAAGGACAUCAUUACCACAGCGAGAGGCUAGCUGAUGGGCACCCCACGACCCCUGAGACCCGUCUCCAUGGUGGGAACCCUGCCGGGCGAAAUGGCAGAAGCACAGGUAGUGCCCGUGUGGCACCCUGGUGUCCCAGACUCAGAAGCACCCAGGGCAGGCAGGGAGUAGGGUCCAGUUACCCCAGUGAAAGCAGCUGGGGAGGGUCCACUGGCGUCAGGAAUCCCUGGGCCUCAGACACGACUACAUGGCUGUGGGCCACUGACCAUUCACAUAACCUCUCUGAGCUUCAAGUGUCCCAACUGCAAACCGGGAUUUCUGCUGCUUACUUUAAAGAGCUGUUGUGAGCGUUGGAUGAGCAAAUGCCUGGUUAGCAAAUCAAUGUAGAAACGAUGCCGGUCGCACCUGUGUGUGCUGCACACCAGGCUCCGUGUUGGGAGAUCACACACCCUCAAGCACACAGACGCACACACUCUGGAUGUUCAUUAAGCUCCUGCUCUGUGCAUGGAGUCCCCCUGCUGAUACAGAAAUGUCACCUGCCCUCAUGUAGGUGACAGUCAACUCCAAGAGACAGGAAGCAGGCAAACAAGUAAAGUAAACAAGUAAAGAGAUGAGCAGUGUAUUUUCAGUAGUGGCAAGCACUGCAGAGAAGAAUAACCAUAACAAAUCCAGAUAAGGAGACGUAGGGCGAUCCGUUUGAGGAGGCUCUGUUUUUAGACUUAGGGGGUCAGGAAAGGCCUCCCUCUGGAAGUAGGUGCUGCCCAGGCCCAGACCUGACCAGCAGGGAGAAAGCAGCCACCUUGGGCUCUAGAGGCAGGGCCUUCCAUGAGCACCAGCCCCCACUUCCCAGCUCCGAUGCAGGUGCUGGACUUGGAGACCUGCCUGGCACCCUGUGGCCCUGGGGACAGGAAGGCAGGACCAGCACCUGCUCUGCUUUCUCC
Bos taurus (domestic cattle) is the source of this 3021-nucleotide long non-coding RNA. The record is from Ensembl. NCBI's taxonomy places the organism in Eukaryota, Metazoa, Chordata, Mammalia, Artiodactyla, Bovidae.